GGUGAGGUAGUGGCUCACCAAGGCGACGACGGGUAGCCGGCCUGAGAGGGCGACCGGCCACACUGGGACUGAGACACGGCCCAGACUCCUACGGGAGGCAGCAGUAGGGAAUCUUGCGCAAUGGGCGAAAGCCUGACGCAGCAACGCCGCGUGGGGGAUGAAGGCCUUCGGGUUGUAAACCCCUUUCAGCAGGGACGAAAAUGACGGUACCUGCAGAAGAAGCUCCGGCCAACUACGUGCCAGCAGCCGCGGUAAUACGUAGGGAGCAAGCGUUGUCCGGAAUUAUUGGGCGUAAAGAGCUCGUAGGCGGUUCGGUAAGUCGGGUGUGAAAAUCCAGGGCUCAACCCUGGGACGCCACCCGAUACUGCUGUGACUAGAGUCCGGUAGAGGAGUGUGGAAUUCCUGGUGUAGCGGUGAAAUGCGCAGAUAUCAGGAGGAACACCAGCGGCGAAGGCGGCACUCUGGGCCGGUACUGACGCUGAGGAGCGAAAGCAUGGGGAGCAAACAGGAUUAGAUACCCUGGUAGUCCAUGCCGUAAACGUUGGGCACUAGGUAUGGGGUCUUAUCAACGGAUUCCGUGCCGUAGCUAACGCAUUA
RNAcentral lists this ribosomal RNA (597 nucleotides) under uncultured Actinomycetes bacterium. RNAcentral describes it as "bacterial SSU rRNA". It matches the Rfam family "Bacterial small subunit ribosomal RNA", at positions 251 to 862 of the family's 1533-position model. Lineage: Bacteria; Bacillati; Actinomycetota; Actinomycetes. The record is from RNAcentral.